CAUUAAGUGGCUGAAUUGCAAGCAAUGAUCUCUUAAAUCAUAAUAUAAUAUAUUAGCAAAUAUUCUUAAUGA
Molecule: transfer RNA, 72 nt
Filed under: Siobla xizangensis
Lineage: Eukaryota; Metazoa; Arthropoda; Insecta; Hymenoptera; Tenthredinidae
Description: tRNA-Lys
Source: RNAcentral